RNA transcript from Anastrepha obliqua, 1340 nucleotides. It is a transcript of the gene named glucosamine-6-phosphate isomerase, with no coding region annotated. NCBI's taxonomy places the organism in Eukaryota, Metazoa, Arthropoda, Insecta, Diptera, Tephritidae. The transcript is spliced from 6 exons. The record is from RefSeq and is a predicted model, not a curated record.
UUGAAAACUAAAUUUAAAAAUAGCCAUAUCUUUUAAUAACAAAAUUAACACAUACAUAUAAAUAUCUAUACAAUUAAAAACCUAAUGCAUUUAAAUUAAAAAGUUACUAAAUGAAAGUAAAAGCAAUAGUUACAUACAUUAGACAAACUUAUGUGCAACAUUUUUGAAGAGCAGUGGUGCAAAAUAUACCACAGUAUUGAAAGCAGCUGAGUGAUUUUAUAAUUUAAGAUGAGGCUAGUGAUCUUAGAUUCAGCGGACUCAGUUGGUGUUUGGGCCGCCAAAUAUGUAAUGAAACGCAUACAGGAUUUUAAACCCGGUCCUAAUAAAUAUUUUGUUCUGGGUCUACCGACUGGCAGCACGCCACUUGGUAUGUACAAGAAACUUAUCGAAUUCCAUAAAGCCGGAAAAGUGUCUUUUGAGUAUGUGAAGACUUUCAAUAUGGACGAAUAUGUGGGCAUCCCUCGCGAUCAUCCCGAAAGCUAUCACUACUUCAUGUGGCAUCAUUUCUUUAAACACAUCAAUAUCGAUCCGAAAAAUGUGCAUAUUUUGGAUGGUAACGCGCAGGAUUUAUUUGCCGAAUGCCAGCAAUUCGAGGCGAUGAUUAAGGAAGCGGGAGGCAUUGAACUAUUCGUUGGCGGUAUUGGACCCGACGGACAUAUCGCCUUCAAUGAACCGGGCAGUUCGUUAGUGUCACGCACACGCGUGAAAACAUUGGCGCAGGAUACAUUGGAGGCGAAUGCACGUUUCUUCGACAACGAUAUAAGUAAAGUGCCCAAGCAGGCAUUGACAGUGGGUGUGGGCACGGUGAUGGAUGCGAAAGAGGUGAUGAUAUUGAUCACGGGCACACAUAAAGCGUUCGCUUUGUACAAAGCGAUAGAGGAGGGCGUAAAUCAUAUGUGGACUGUAAGUGCCUUUCAGCAGCAUCCCAACACACUGAUGCUUUGUGAUGAGGAUGCUACGUUGGAGUUGCGUGUCAAGACGGUGAAAUAUUUUAAGAAUGAAUCCCCGUCACUGAUCUCAGCCAUUUUUAGUGCUUAAUUUAACACGUGUGCAAAUCCUACUCUUAUGUACUAUAUUUGAGAAAUCUUAGAAGAUGGAAAAUUUCUUGGUGAUGGCGCUAUUUCUAGACCUAUUGGUGUUUGGGCCUGAUGGAAGUGCAUUGCAAAUUGGUGGAAGGUGUCGAAUAAAUUACAAGGUUUCGAUUUUAUUUUGUAUGUACUUUGGAUACAAUUCAACCCAGGGAAUUAAAAUUUAGUUAGUAUGAAAUUAAUGUUCAUAUUGCAUUUUUUGUAAUAAAAAAAGAAAAAGUAAUAAAUUUGUAAGGCAAGAAUAUAAUUUAA